RNAcentral lists this ribosomal RNA (445 nucleotides) under uncultured bacterium. Its description in RNAcentral is "bacterial SSU rRNA". It matches the Rfam family "Bacterial small subunit ribosomal RNA", at positions 330 to 792 of the family's 1533-position model. The record is from RNAcentral.
UCCAGACUCCUACGGGAGGCAGCAGUGGGGAAUAUUGCACAAUGGGGGAAACCCUGAUGCAGCGACGCCGCGUGAGUGAAGAAGUAUUUCGGUAUGUAAAGCUCUCUCAGCAGGGAAGAUAAUGACGGUACCUGACUAAGAAGCCCCGGCUAACUACGUGCCAGCAGCCGCGGUAAUACGUAGGGGGCAAGCGUUAUCCGGAUUUACUGGGUGUAAAGGGUGCGUAGGUGGCAGGGCAAGUCAGAUGUGAAAGCCCGGGGCUCAACCCCGGUACUGCAUUUGAAACUGUCCGGCUAGAGUGCAGGAGAGGUAAGCGGAAUUCCUAGUGUAGCGGUGAAAUGCGUAGAUAUUAGGAGGAACACCAGUGGCGAAGGCGGCUUACUGGACUGUAACUGACACUGAGGCACGAAAGCGUGGGGAGCAAACAGGAUUAGAUACCCUAGUA